This 407-nucleotide ribosomal RNA is filed under the name uncultured bacterium. Its description in RNAcentral is "bacterial SSU rRNA". It matches the Rfam family "Bacterial small subunit ribosomal RNA", at positions 29 to 416 of the family's 1533-position model. The record is from RNAcentral.
AACGAACGCUGGCGGCGUGGAUUAGGCAUGCAAGUCGAACGCGAAAGAGGGGGGUAACUCCUCGAGUAGAGUGGCGAACGGGUGAGUAACACGUGAGAAACCUGCCUUCAGCAGGGGGAUAACACUCCCAACGGGGUGCUAAUACCGCAUGAGACCACGGAUUCGCAUGGAUCUGGGGUCAAAGGUGGCCUCUGCUUGCAAGCUACCGGCUGAAGAUGGUCUCGCGUCCCAUUAGCUAGUUGGUGGGGUAAUGGCCCACCAAGGCGACGAUGGGGUAGCUGGUCUGAGAGGAUGGUCAGCCACACUGGGACUGAGAUACGGCCCAGACUCCUACGGGAGGCAGCAGUCGGGAGGCUUUGGCAAUGGGGAAACCCUGACCAAGCGACGCCGCGUGUGUGAAGAAGGCC